This 593-nucleotide ribosomal RNA is filed under the name uncultured fungus. Its description in RNAcentral is "eukaryotic LSU rRNA". It matches the Rfam family "Eukaryotic large subunit ribosomal RNA", at positions 177 to 789 of the family's 3401-position model. Lineage: Eukaryota; Fungi. The record is from RNAcentral.
GUGUACAAGUGCCUUGGAACAGGACGUCGUAGAGGGUGAGAAUCCCGUCUUUGACACGGACCCCCGGCGCUAUGCGAUGCGCUCUCGAAGAGUCGAGUUGUUUGGGAAUGCAGCUCAAAACGGGUGGUAAAUUCCAUCUAAAGCUAAAUAUUGGCGAGAGACCGAUAGCGAACAAGUACCGUGAGGGAAAGAUGAAAAGCACUUUGGAAAGAGAGUAAAACAGUACGUGAAAUUGUUGAAAGGGAAACGCUUGAAGUCAGUCGCGUCUGCCGGAACUCAGCCUUGCUUCUGCUUGGUGCAUUUUCCGGUCCGACGGGCCAGCAUCGGUUUCGGGCGACGGACACUGGCGUGGGGAAGGUGGCAGCUCCGGCUGUGUUAUAGCCCUGCGUCGCAAACGCCGCCUGGGACCGAGGAAUCCGGCGCAAGCCUGGGAUGCUGGCGUAAUGGCUUUAAACGACCCGUCUUGAAACACGGACCAAGGAGUGCUACGUGCUCGCGAGUGUUUGGGUGGAAAACCCGGACGCGCAAUGAAAGUGAAAGUCGAUACCCCUCGCGGGGGCACCGACGCCCGAGCCUGAUGUUUUCGGAAGGCC